This 417-nucleotide ribosomal RNA is filed under the name uncultured Actinomycetes bacterium. Its description in RNAcentral is "bacterial SSU rRNA". It matches the Rfam family "Bacterial small subunit ribosomal RNA", at positions 9 to 431 of the family's 1533-position model. The record is from RNAcentral. Lineage: Bacteria; Bacillati; Actinomycetota; Actinomycetes.
GAGUUUGAUCAUGGCUCAGGACGAACGCUGGCGGCGUGCUUAACACAUGCAAGUCGAGCGGAAAGGCCCUUUCGGGGGUACUCGAGCGGCGAACGGGUGAGUAACACGUGAGUAACCUGCCCCAGUCUUUGGGAUAACCCUCGGAAACGAGGGCUAAUACCGGAUAUGACAUUCCACCGCAUGGUGUGGGUGUGGAAAGUUUUUCGGUCUGGGAUGGGCUCGCGGCCUAUCAGCUUGUUGGUGGGGUGAUGGCCUACCAAGGCGACGACGGGUAGCCGGCCUGAGAGGGCGACCGGCCACACUGGGACUGAGACACGGUCCAGACUCCUACGGGAGGCAGCAGUGGGGAAUAUUGGACAAUGGGCGCAAGCCUGAUCCAGCCAUGCCGCGUGUGUGAAGAAGGCCUCGGUUGUAAGC